This 1007-nucleotide ribosomal RNA is filed under the name Bacillus altitudinis. Its description in RNAcentral is "bacterial SSU rRNA". It matches the Rfam family "Bacterial small subunit ribosomal RNA", at positions 35 to 1027 of the family's 1533-position model. Lineage: Bacteria; Bacillati; Bacillota; Bacilli; Caryophanales; Bacillaceae. The record is from RNAcentral.
GGCCUUGCGGCGUGCUAUACAUGCAGUCGAGCGGACAGAAGGGAGCUUGCUCCCGGAUGUUAGCGGCGGACGGGUGAGUAACACGUGGGUAACCUGCCUGUAAGACUGGGAUAACUCCGGGAAACCGGAGCUAAUACCGGAUAGUUCCUUGAACCGCAUGGUUCAAGGAUGAAAGACGGUUUCGGCUGUCACUUACAGAUGGACCCGCGGCGCAUUAGCUAGUUGGUGAGGUAACGGCUCACCAAGGCGACGAUGCGUAGCCGACCUGAGAGGGUGAUCGGCCACACUGGGACUGAGACACGGCCCAGACUCCUACGGGAGGCAGCAGUAGGGAAUCUUCCGCAAUGGACGAAAGUCUGACGGAGCAACGCCGCGUGAGUGAUGAAGGUUUUCGGAUCGUAAAGCUCUGUUGUUAGGGAAGAACAAGUGCAAGAGUAACUGCUUGCACCUUGACGGUACCUAACCAGAAAGCCACGGCUAACUACGUGCCAGCAGCCGCGGUAAUACGUAGGUGGCAAGCGUUGUCCGGAAUUAUUGGGCGUAAAGGGCUCGCAGGCGGUUUCUUAAGUCUGAUGUGAAAGCCCCCGGCUCAACCGGGGAGGGUCAUUGGAAACUGGGAAACUUGAGUGCAGAAGAGGAGAGUGGAAUUCCACGUGUAGCGGUGAAAUGCGUAGAGAUGUGGAGGAACACCAGUGGCGAAGGCGACUCUCUGGUCUGUAACUGACGCUGAGGAGCGAAAGCGUGGGGAGCGAACAGGAUUAGAUACCCUGGUAGUCCACGCCGUAAACGAUGAGUGCUAAGUGUUAGGGGGUUUCCGCCCCUUAGUGCUGCAGCUAACGCAUUAAGCACUCCGCCUGGGGAGUACGGUCGCAAGACUGAAACUCAAAGGAAUUGACGGGGGCCCGCACAAGCGGUGAGCAUGUGGUUUAAUUCGAAGCAACGCGAGGAACCUUACCAGGUCUUGACAUCCUCUGACAACCCUAGAGAUAGGGCUUCCCUUUCGGGAC